Molecule: ribosomal RNA, 1394 nt
Filed under: Bacillus spizizenii
Lineage: Bacteria; Bacillati; Bacillota; Bacilli; Caryophanales; Bacillaceae
Description: bacterial SSU rRNA
Rfam family: Bacterial small subunit ribosomal RNA
Source: RNAcentral
AGCUUGCUCCCUGAUGUUAGCGGCGGACGGGUGAGUAACACGUGGGUAACCUGCCUGUAAGACUGGGAUAACUCCGGGAAACCGGGGCUAAUACCGGAUGCUUGUUUGAACCGCAUGGUUCAAACAUAAAAGGUGGCUUCGGCUACCACUUACAGAUGGACCCGCGGCGCAUUAGCUAGUUGGUGAGGUAAUGGCUCACCAAGGCGACGAUGCGUAGCCGACCUGAGAGGGUGAUCGGCCACACUGGGACUGAGACACGGCCCAGACUCCUACGGGAGGCAGCAGUAGGGAAUCUUCCGCAAUGGACGAAAGUCUGACGGAGCAACGCCGCGUGAGUGAUGAAGGUUUUCGGAUCGUAAAGCUCUGUUGUUAGGGAAGAACAAGUACCGUUCGAAUAGGGCGGUACCUUGACGGUACCUAACCAGAAAGCCACGGCUAACUACGUGCCAGCAGCCGCGGUAAUACGUAGGUGGCAAGCGUUGUCCGGAAUUAUUGGGCGUAAAGGGCUCGCAGGCGGUUUCUUAAGUCUGAUGUGAAAGCCCCCGGCUCAACCGGGGAGGGUCAUUGGAAACUGGGGAACUUGAGUGCAGAAGAGGAGAGUGGAAUUCCACGUGUAGCGGUGAAAUGCGUAGAGAUGUGGAGGAACACCAGUGGCGAAGGCGACUCUCUGGUCUGUAACUGACGCUGAGGAGCGAAAGCGUGGGGAGCGAACAGGAUUAGAUACCCUGGUAGUCCACGCCGUAAACGAUGAGUGCUAAGUGUUAGGGGGUUUCCGCCCCUUAGUGCUGCAGCUAACGCAUUAAGCACUCCGCCUGGGGAGUACGGUCGCAAGACUGAAACUCAAAGGAAUUGACGGGGGCCCCGCACAAGCGGUGGAGCAUGUGGUUUAAUUCAAAGCAACGCGAAGAAUUGACGGGGGCCCCGCACAAGCGGUGGAGCAUGUGGUUUAAUUCAAAGCAACGCGAAGAAGGCAGAGUGAACAGGUGGGUGCAUGGGUUGUCCGUCAGCUUCGUGGUCCUGGAAAUGUUGGGGUUAAAUUCCCGCCAACCAAGCGCCAACCCCUUGAAUCUUAAUUUGCCCAGCAUUUCCGUUUGGGGCACCUCCUAAGGGUGAACUGGCCGGUUGGACAAAACCCGGAAGGAAAAGGUGAUGACGUCAAAUCAUCAUGCCCCUUAUGACCUGGGCUACACACGUGCUACAAUGGACAGAACAAAGGGCAGCGAAACCGCGAGGUUAAGCCAAUCCCACAAAUCUGUUCUCAGUUCGGAUCGCAGUCUGCAACUCGACUGCGUGAAGCUGGAAUCGCUAGUAAUCGCGGAUCAGCAUGCCGCGGUGAAUACGUUCCCGGGCCUUGUACACAUCGCCCGUCACACCACGAGAGUUUGUAACCCCGA